AAAUCGGGGAGUAUCUACCAAAGCUCCUUCCAAAUCUCAGGAUUCUGGGAAUUUGUAGUGUCUCUGGGAACACAGACAGACCUAUGGGAACACACGGGAACCUCUUUUAGAAAACCUGACAAGCGAAUAUGACUUGGAUCUUUUCCGAAGAGCACAAGCCCGGGCUUCAGAGGAUUUGGAGAAGUUAAGGCUGCAAGGCCAAAUCACAGAGGGAAGCAACAUGAUUAAAACAAUUGCUUUUGGCCGCUAUGAGCUUGAUACCUGGUACCAUUCUCCAUAUCCUGAAGAAUAUGCACGGCUGGGACGUCUCUAUAUGUGUGAAUUCUGUUUAAAAUAUAUGAAGAGCCAAACGAUACUCCGCCGGCACAUGGCCAAAUGUGUGUGGAAACACCCACCUGGUGAUGAGAUAUAUCGCAAAGGUUCAAUCUCUGUGUUUGAAGUGGAUGGCAAGAAAAACAAGAUCUACUGCCAGAACCUGUGCCUGUUGGCCAAACUUUUUCUGGACCACAAGACAUUAUAUUAUGAUGUGGAGCCCUUCCUGUUCUAUGUUAUGACAGAG
RNAcentral lists this small RNA (559 nucleotides) under Pan troglodytes (chimpanzee). Its description in RNAcentral is "processed transcript". Lineage: Eukaryota; Metazoa; Chordata; Mammalia; Primates; Hominidae. The record is from RNAcentral.